GUAGGGAAUAUUGGGCAAUGGUCGGAAGACUGACCCAGCCAUGCCGCGUGCAGGAAGACGGCCCUCUGGGUUGUAAACUGCUUUUAUCUGGGAAGAAAAAGGCCAUGCGUGGCAAAUUGCCGGUACCAGAUGAAUAAGCACCGGCUAACUCCGUGCCAGCAGCCGCGGUAAUACGGAGGGUGCGAGCGUUGUCCGGAUUGAUUGGGUUUAAAGGGUGCGUAGGCGGCUGGUUAAGUCAGCGGUGAAAGACUUCGGCUUAACCGGGGCAGUGCCGUUGAUGCUGGUUGGCUUGAGUGUCGGAGGGGUACAUGGAAUUGAUGGUGUAGCGGUGAAAUGCAUAGAUACCAUCAGGAACGCCGAUAGCGAAGGCAUUGUACUGGCCGACAACUGACGCUGAUGCACGAAAGUGUGGGGAUCGAACAGGAUUAGAUACCCGAGUAGUCC
This 444-nucleotide ribosomal RNA is filed under the name uncultured bacterium. RNAcentral's name for it is "partial 16S ribosomal RNA". It matches the Rfam family "Bacterial small subunit ribosomal RNA", at positions 354 to 796 of the family's 1533-position model. The record is from RNAcentral.